ACGGGUGAGUAACGCGUGGGAAUCUACCCAUCCCUACGGAAUAACGCAUGGAAACGUGUGCUAAUACCGUAUACGCACUACGGGGGAAAGAUUUAUCGGGGAUGGAUGAGCCCGCGUUGGAUUAGCUAGUUGGUGGGGUAAAGGCCUACCAAGGCGACGAUCCAUAGCUGGUCUGAGAGGAUGAUCAGCCACAUUGGGACUGAGACACGGCCCAAACUCCUACGGGAGGCAGCAGUGGGGAAUAUUGGACAAUGGGCGCAAGCCUGAUCCAGCCAUGCCGCGUGAGUGAUGAAGGCCUUAGGGUUGUAAAGCUCUUUCACCGGAGAAGAUAAUGACGGUAUCCGGAGAAGAAGCCCCGGCUAACUUCGUGCCAGCAGCCGCGGUAAUACGAAGGGGGCUAGCGUUGUUCGGAAUUACUGGGCGUAAAGCGCACGUAGGCGGACUUUUAAGUCAGGGGUGAAAUCCCGGGGCUCAACCUCGGAACUGCCUUUGAUACUGGAAGUCUGGAGUAUGGAAGAGGUGAGUGGAAUUCCGAGU
Molecule: ribosomal RNA, 537 nt
Filed under: uncultured bacterium
Lineage: Bacteria
Description: bacterial SSU rRNA
Rfam family: Bacterial small subunit ribosomal RNA
Source: RNAcentral